ACCUUCAUGCGAACGGCAGCUCAUUUUUUUUGUGCGGUGGCGGGUCGUAGAUUCGUUGGGAGGGGUAGGAGGGUUUAAAGAAGACUAACUACAUAACCAAAUAAGCAAAGGAUACUUACACAGACUUGAGGACUUUCCUACUAUUUAAACAAAUUGGGACGCCGUUCGAAAAAUCCUCAAAUUCUCAUAUCGAGUACUUACUGGAAAGCAACUGGGGGACAUUCAUCGUAGAUUCCUCGUUGGGGUUAUAGUGGGCUACUUAUUUAUCAUUAUUGGCUUCUAUGCCAUUAUAUUUUCUUCUGUUCUAAAACUUAUUCACUUGUAUUAGAUAUCUGUUAAUAAUUUUUUUAAAAAAAAGAGGUUACAGAAAUAAAGAUGUGUACAUUUUAUAAUGUUUAUUUAAACCUUAAUACCUUUUUAUUUUUAUUGAGAAUAGACACAUUCUCAAACCAGAAAUGAAUAAUAAUAACAAAAUACAUGAUUUUACAAUUUUUAACCUUAUUUUUAGCAGUGUACCAAAACAAAAAUUUGACAUGGCUGUCAAAUGUCACUGCCAUCUAAUAUUUACUUUACAUAAUAUAUUUUCCAUGUUGAAAACAAACAUUUUUAAUUAUGUAAAACCUUUACCAAUAAUAUCCACUUGUGAAUUAUUUAAAAUAAACAUUAUCAUACCUUGUUAAAACAAAAAUCCAUGUCACAACACUUGGAACUUCAAAAUUUUCCAUUCAGACGGGGCUGGGAGGGGAAGAUAUUCAAAUCAUUACAAAACUGGAUAAAAUCGAUACCAAAUAAUAUCAUCUGGGCAUUUCUUACUGGAACAUGAACAAAUCAAAA
This is a long non-coding RNA of Diabrotica virgifera virgifera (western corn rootworm), 834 nucleotides long. RefSeq lists it as uncharacterized. Lineage: Eukaryota; Metazoa; Arthropoda; Insecta; Coleoptera; Chrysomelidae. The record is from RefSeq and is a predicted model, not a curated record. The transcript is spliced from 2 exons.